Molecule: ribosomal RNA, 252 nt
Filed under: uncultured bacterium
Lineage: Bacteria
Description: partial 16S ribosomal RNA
Rfam family: Bacterial small subunit ribosomal RNA
Source: RNAcentral
UACGUAGGGGGCAAGCGUUAUCCGGAAUUAUUGGGCGUAAAGAGUACGUAGGUGGUUUUACAAGUCUAGGGUGAAAGGCAGUGGCUCAACCAUUGUUAGCCCUAGAAACUGUAUGACUUGAGUGCAGGAGAGGUAAGUGGAAUUCCUAGUGUAGCGGUGAAAUGCGUAGAUAUUAGGAGGAACACCAGUGGCGAAGGCGACUUACUGGACUGUUACUGACACUGAGGUACGAAAGCGUGGGGAGCGAACAGG